RNAcentral lists this long non-coding RNA (3075 nucleotides) under Nicotiana tabacum (common tobacco). Its description in RNAcentral is "long non-coding RNA (NTAB_LNC013177)". The record is from RNAcentral. Lineage: Eukaryota; Viridiplantae; Streptophyta; Magnoliopsida; Solanales; Solanaceae.
GGAAAUGUAAAAUCUUUGCUAAUUUAAUUUAUACUGAAUAACAUAAAGUAGUAUUGUCAAAUUAAUUUCAUUGUGUAUAUUUAUGUGGAAACCAAGUACAACUAAAAAAUCUAACCAGUGCCUUUUCAAGAACAAGUAGCUUUGUGACUCCGCUCCUCUCCCGUCUCUCAUGUUUACCUACCCAGAAAACCUGUAGAAAUUGCAAAUGUUAGAAAAGAUUUACAGAUAUUCUUUUCUUGAGCUAUUCUUAAACAACAACAUGAAAGCGAUUUUAAUCCCCCCCCCCCCCCAAUUUCCUAAACCAAAAGGGGUAACAAAUACCGCUAUAUUUUAUAUUUACUUUUCAUAUUUCAUUUGAGGAAGCAACAAUCUUGUCAGUGGAAUAUGAUGGUGCAGAGUAUGUUGAAAUAACAUGAACAUGGAAUAGUCGUGAACAUAUCAGAUAAGAAAAUUCCAUGUUAAAAAUCUCAUGCUAAUCGUAACCUUUUGAAAGUUUAUUAAACAAUAGGUGUUAAUUUUUAAUUUUUAUUCUUAUAAGCAAGUUAGAAUGACAUUUAUAUAAUUUCGCUAUUUAAUUAAGGGUUUCAUGCUUUGAAUAUAUAGAUAGCAUAUAAGGGAUAAAAUGAAAAGUCACAUGAAUAAAUAGAUUUGGUGGCUGGCCAAAAAGAGUUAUAGAGACUACCCGAUCAAAUUCUUCUUUUUGUUUUUUUGUUUUAAUUGUUUUGAUUGCGGUCGAUAAAUUUAAUCUGCAAUAUACAUAUAUUUUUAUUAUCUCCCUCCACUCUUUUUUCUUUGAAUCGAUCCGCACAUCGCGCGAGUACGUAUACUAGUACAAUAAAUGAGUGGGAGGACAACUAUUAAAUUGCACAAUAAAUGGAGAGAUCAAAAUUAUGAUUGCAAAAAAAAUAAUAUUGUGAUUGAAUAUUAAGGAUCUCUCUUUAUUGAGUUUUAUAUAAAAAAUGUUAAAAUAUAUGUAUAAGAUGAAGGAAAGAAGAGGGUUAUAAUGAGUUUGAAUUAUCACAACCAACUCUAGAGGCUUUAGUGAAAUUAAGGAACCUUUUAAGAAUGCUUGAAAUAAAACAAGUAAAUGGUUGAAACUGAAAGAGAAGUUUUGAGCGUUUUUUUCAGAUUGAAUUCGCUCAGUUUGUAUUGUGAAAAAACAAAUGUGGUCAAAGUUAAAGUAUAAACGAAUGGAAUCAUUUAAGCUAGAAAUUAAAUUCCUAAUAUCGACUUGAUAAUAAAUAUCGAAUUUCAUGUCCCUACAUGCCUACAUAUCAAAGAUGAGCUCGUUAUAAUCCAGAUACCUUGUUGAUAUAAGCUCUUGCUAUUCAUUUUUUAUUAUGAUUUUGCGACCAAAUAGAUAAAUACUAGUGUUACGAAAUAUGCUACGUCCUUUAAACUUUAUUAUCUUGUAACAACUCAAUUUUUUUAAACCUAAUUCUAUUCUAACCUAAUCAAGUGCAACAUGGCACUUUAAAUCAUCAAAAGCCAUUUUGAUAAAGGAUUGUUUUGUAUGAAUUUUUUUUCCUUUGAAUAUAUUUUCCAAUGUUUAGUUGGUACGUAACUUAUGUUAUAAAUAUUAGAGUACGGUUCUCAUGUAAAAUAUAGAGUAAUUUUUUUUAAAGAACCACCGUCAUGCAUGGCUCACAUAGAAUUUGUCACACUUGAAGAAACAAGAAAAUACAAUGCCUUUUGACUUGUGGAGUAUGCACAGUCUCCACAAGUCACUUUAGGUUAUAUUAUUAUUAUUAUUAUUAUUAUUAUUAUUAUUAUUAUUAUUAUUAUUAUUAUUAUUAUUAUUAUUAUUAUUAUUAUUAUUAUUAUUAUUAUUAUUAUUUUUGGUAACAAGCACUUUAAGGUUAACAAGAAGAAUACAAAGGGAGAAAGAAAUGUUCAAAAGGUGAACUAGUUUGUACUUCAUGAAAUAUAAGAUUCGAAAGAGGCCCUUUUUUAAUUUAAUUUUAUCCAGAACCACUGUACAUUUGUGCUUUCCUUCGGGGUGCUUUGAUGAAAUCAUAAUGAAUUAACCAAAAUAAUCACCCAACGGCUUAAACGAAAAAUAGCUGGUAGAGGUAUAUCCAAUGGGCGUUAGAGCAUUGAGAUGAACUUUACCUAGUACGAGAGGACCGGGAAGGACACACCUUUGAUGUAUCAGUUAUCGUGCCCAUGGUAAACACUGGGUAGCCAAGUGCGGAGCGGAUAACUGUUGAAAGCAUUUAAGUAGUAAGUCCACCCCAAAUAAACAAUGAAUAUAACCGGCUAUUUGUGUAAAGCUAAAAGUUUUCUCCGUUUUAAUAUCAAUAUCAUACAAACACAGGUAGAGUUAGGUGGGCGAAAGGGGGCCCUAGCCUAAAUUAUGCUGUAUAUGUAAGAUUAAAUUUUUAUGUAUAUAUAUUAGAUGUUGAAUUUACUUUUUUAUUUUUUAAAUCUCCCUUUUUACCAUAGUAAAUAAUAAAUAAAGAAUUUUCCUUUGUUUUAAUAUGGGGUAUCAUAUAGUAAUAAAUAAAGGUAAGAUUUCCCGUGAUGGACCCCAAUACUCGCUAUAACGGACCUUUCACAAUCUGACACUAUUUGACCGUUACAAAUUAUAAUUUUUAAAAAUUAUUCAAAUUUGGCCCACAUUAUUGCCACUCCAACUUUUGCUUUGCGCAGAUACUCAACUCAAUGUUCUCUUUCCCUCUCUCUCAAAUCCUCAUUUCUUCUGUUUACUCAAGAACCAAUUUUAGCUUCCAUCCCUCAAUUUUCCAUCAAGCAUUUUGAAGUUUCUUAGUAUAAACUCAGCUUUCUUAGUAAAUUAUUGAGAAUCAGGAAAGGGCAUGUUUGGGAUAAGGGGGUUUUAUUCAUAAAAUGCCAGUUUCCACAAGAUCUCAGAUUACUGACUCUCAGGUAAAAAAUGAUCUAAGAAUUAGACCAAGAACAGAUCAAGAAGAUUCCCAAAUGUCUAGAAAUAUGAGAAAUCCACACCACGGGUUGAAAGAGAAGAUGAAAGCACUUACUCUUUUAUAUGAACAGCAAAAACAAGCCGCUGCUGCUACCAAGAAUCAAUAUUUCAAGCCUGAAGAGCCAAGAUUUUCG